This 356-nucleotide ribosomal RNA is filed under the name Blastocystis sp. subtype 2. RNAcentral describes it as "SSU rRNA". It matches the Rfam family "Eukaryotic small subunit ribosomal RNA", at positions 717 to 1078 of the family's 1831-position model. Lineage: Eukaryota; Bigyra; Opalinata; Blastocystidae. The record is from RNAcentral.
GGGGUAUUCAGUUAUUCUACUACUCCUUUGGUCGUUUACUGUGAGAAAAUUAGAGUGUUCAAAGCGGGCGUUUGUUUGAAUAGAUUAGCAUGGAAUAAUGAUUGAAGGCUUUCGUGUUCGAUUUGAUUGGUUUGUUCAUGGAAGCAAGGUUAAAAGGAACAGUUGGGGGUAUUCAUAUUCACUAGUUAGAGGUGAAAUUCUCGGAUUUAUGGAAGAUGAACAGGUGCGAAAGCAUUUACCAAGGAUGUUUUCAUUAAUCAAGAACGAAAGCUAGGGGAUCGAAGAGGAUUAGAUACCCUCGUAGUCUUAGCUAUAAACGAUACCGACUAGGGGUUAGUAGAGGUCAAUGUGUCUCU